GACGAACGCUGGCGGCGUGCUUAACACAUGCAAGUCGAACGGAAAGGCCCCUUUGGGGGUACUCGAGUGGCGAACGGGUGAGUAACACGUGAGUAACCUGCCCUGGACUUCGGGAUAACUUCAGGAAACUGGGGCGAAUACCGGAUAGGAAUCCUUGCUGCAUGGGGGGGGUUGGAAAGCUUCGGCGGUUUUGGAUGGACUCGCGGCUUAUCAGGUUGGUGGUGGGGUAGUGGCUUACCAGGGCUUUGACGGGUAGCCGGCCUGGGAGGGUGACCGGCCAGAAGGGGACGGGGGGACGGCCCAGACUCCGGCGGGAGGCGGCAGGGGGGGGUAUGGCACAAUGGGCGGAAGCCUGAUGGGGCGGCGGCGCGGGAGGGACGGAGGGCGUCGGGGUGUGAACCUCUGUGGCCGGUGAAGAAGGUCCUGCUCUUUGUGGUGGGGUUGACGGGAGCCGGGUGAUGAAGCGCCGGCUAACUACGUG
Molecule: ribosomal RNA, 481 nt
Filed under: uncultured bacterium
Lineage: Bacteria
Description: partial 16S ribosomal RNA
Rfam family: Bacterial small subunit ribosomal RNA
Source: RNAcentral